Molecule: ribosomal RNA, 87 nt
Filed under: Acanthosepion pharaonis
Lineage: Eukaryota; Metazoa; Mollusca; Cephalopoda; Sepiida; Sepiidae
Source: RNAcentral
GAGUUCCUAUAUGAUCACCGAAGUUGAGCAACAUCGAGCCUGGUCAGUACCUAGAUGGGUGACCGUUUGGGAAUACCAGGUGCUAUC